UGACACUGAUGAACCCUAUCCCGAAACUGAUCCAUCUUCUGAUGAGACAAUCUACGGAUCUGAUUACUGAGUU
This is a small nucleolar RNA of Osmerus eperlanus (European smelt), 73 nucleotides long. RefSeq annotates it as small nucleolar RNA SNORD50. The record is from RefSeq and is a predicted model, not a curated record. The transcript has a single exon. NCBI's taxonomy places the organism in Eukaryota, Metazoa, Chordata, Actinopteri, Osmeriformes, Osmeridae.